Molecule: ribosomal RNA, 253 nt
Filed under: uncultured bacterium
Lineage: Bacteria
Description: partial 16S ribosomal RNA
Rfam family: Bacterial small subunit ribosomal RNA
Source: RNAcentral
UACGUAGGGUGCGAGCGUUAAUCGGAAUUACUGGGCGUAAAGCGUGCGCAGGCGGUUGUGUAAGACAGAUGUGAAAUGCCCGGGCUCAACCUGGGGACUGCAUUUGUGACUGCACGGCUGGAGUGUGUCAGAGGGGGGUAGAAUUCCACGUGUAGCAGUGAAAUGCGUAGAUAUGUGGAGGAACACCGAUGGCGAAGGCAGCCCCCUGGGAUAACACUGACGCUAAUGCACGAAAGCGUGGGGAGCAAACAGG